RNAcentral lists this ribosomal RNA (253 nucleotides) under uncultured bacterium. RNAcentral's name for it is "partial 16S ribosomal RNA". It matches the Rfam family "Bacterial small subunit ribosomal RNA", at positions 524 to 776 of the family's 1533-position model. The record is from RNAcentral.
UACGAAGGGUGCAAGCGUUGCUCGGAAUUAUUGGGCGUAAAGGGUAGGUAGGUGGUAAUAAAAGUCUGGGGUGAAAUCCCUGAGCUCAACUCAGGACGUGCCUUGGAAACUUUAUUACUAGAGUGCUGGAGAGGUCCGCAGAAUUCCCGGUGUAGCGGUGAAAUGCGUAGAGAUCGGGAGGAACACCGGUGGCGAAGGCGGGUCUCUGGGCAAUUCCUGACGCUGAGGCGCGAAAGCGUGGGGAGCAAACGGG